This 352-nucleotide ribosomal RNA is filed under the name uncultured Geobacillus sp. RNAcentral describes it as "bacterial SSU rRNA". It matches the Rfam family "Bacterial small subunit ribosomal RNA", at positions 1029 to 1382 of the family's 1533-position model. Lineage: Bacteria; Bacillati; Bacillota; Bacilli; Caryophanales; Anoxybacillaceae. The record is from RNAcentral.
GGGUGACAGGUGGUGCAUGGUUGUCGUCAGCUCGUGUCGUGAGAUGUUGGGUUGAGUCCCGCAACGAGCGCAACCCUCGCCUCUAGUUGCCAGCAUUCGGUUGGGCACUCUAGAGGGACUGCCGGCGACAAGUCGGAGGAAGGUGGGGAUGACGUCAAAUCAUCAUGCCCCUUAUGACCUGGGCUACACACGUGCUACAAUGGGCGGUACAAAGGGCUGCGAACCCGCGAGGGGGAGCGAAUCCCAAAAAGCCGCUCUCAGUUCGGAUUGCAGGCUGCAACUCGCCUGCAUGAAGCCGGAAUCGCUAGUAAUCGCGGAUCAGCAUGCCGCGGUGAAUACGUUCCCGGGCCUU